GAGGAUAGAAUAGAGCCGCAGGACAAUGAGACUGAGGAGACUGAGGAUAGAAUAGGGCCGAAUGACAAUGAGACUGAGGAGACUGAGAAGAGAAUAGGGCCUCAGGACAAUGAGACUGAGGAGACUGAGGAUAGAAUAGGGCCGCAGCACAAUGAGACUGAGGAUAGAAUAGGGCCGAAUGACAAUGAGACUGAGGAGACUGAGGAUAGAAUAGGGCCGCAGGACAAUGAGACUGAGGAGACAGAGGUUAGAAUAGGGACGCAGGACAAUGAGACUGAGGAGACAGAGGAUAGAAUAGGGACGCAGGACAAUGAGACUGAGGUGACUGAGGAUAGAAUAGGGACGCAGGACAAUGAGACUGAGGAGACAGAGGAUAGAAUAGGGACGCAGGACAAUGAGACUGAGGAGACAGAGUUUAGAAUAGGGCCGAAUGACAAUGAGACUGAGGAGACAGAGGAUAGAAUAGGGACGCAGGACAAUGAGACUGAGGAGACAGAGUUUAGAAUAGGGCCGAAUGACAAUGAGACUGAGGAUAGAAUAGGGCCGAAUGACAAUGAGACUGAGGAGACAGAGGAUAGAAUAGGGACGCAGGACAAUGAGACUGAGGAGACAGAGUUUAGAAUAGGGCCGCAGGACAAUGAGACUGAGGAGACUGAGGAUAGAAUAGGGCCGCAGGACAAUGAGACUGAGGAGACAGAGGUUAGAAUAGGGACGCAGGACAAUGAGACUGAGGAGACAGAGGAUAGAAUAGGGACGCAGGACAAUGAGACUGAGGAGACAGAGUUUAG
Oncorhynchus tshawytscha (Chinook salmon) is the source of this 788-nucleotide long non-coding RNA. The record is from Ensembl. NCBI's taxonomy places the organism in Eukaryota, Metazoa, Chordata, Actinopteri, Salmoniformes, Salmonidae.